This 381-nucleotide ribosomal RNA is filed under the name uncultured eukaryote. RNAcentral describes it as "partial 18S ribosomal RNA". It matches the Rfam family "Eukaryotic small subunit ribosomal RNA", at positions 592 to 975 of the family's 1831-position model. The record is from RNAcentral.
CAAUAGCGUAUAUUAAAGUUGUUGCAGUUAAAAAGCUCGUAGUUGGAUUUCUGGUUGAAGCGACCGGUCGGGCGUUGAUUCGUCUGCACUGGAGUCGGUUUUGGCCAUCCUCUAGGAAAGUGCGUCUGGUAUUAAGUUAUCGGGCGUAUGAUCCUGGUCUUUUACUGUGAAAAAAUUAGAGUGUUUAAAGCAGGCCUUCGCCUUGAAUACAUUAGCAUGGAAUAAUAAGAUAGGACUUUGGUCUAUUUUGUCGGUUUGCAGACCGAAGUAAUGAUUAAUAGGGAUAGUUGGGGGUACCUGUAUUGCGUUGUCAGAGGUGAAAUUCUUGGAUUUACGCAAGACAAACAGCUGCGAAAGCGUCUGCCAAGGAUGUUUUCAUUA